This is a long non-coding RNA of Syngnathus acus (greater pipefish), 500 nucleotides long. RefSeq lists it as uncharacterized. The transcript has 5 exons. Lineage: Eukaryota; Metazoa; Chordata; Actinopteri; Syngnathiformes; Syngnathidae. The record is from RefSeq and is a predicted model, not a curated record.
UGCGACCAGGAUAUUGGUCUUGGCUGGGACUCAGCCGGAACCAUGGCGACUUGGAGUGGUGCGACGGAUCAACUACAUAUGACGCCCCGUGGUAUCUUCCGAAAUUUCCAUAUGCCUGCUCCAAAUUGACGACUGCUGCUGAAGUUUACAUAGACACUUGCGAUACCCUUCGUCCAUCCAUCUGUCAAAAAGGCAAGGCCAGAGAUUCUCUUCCGCUUCUCCCAGCGCCGACAUCAACAUCAGGCAAGAGCGCAAAGUGCGGCUGGUGGCAGGAAAACCCCGCCAACGACUUCUGCUACCUGAUCGACUCCAAGGCCACCAAGACCUGGAAGGAGGCGCGAGACAAGUGCGCCCGCCUCAGCGGCAACCUGCUCGGCUUCGCCGACUCGCAGGAACACGCCUUCAUCCAAGGUCUUCUGCCAAACGCUUCCUCUUUGUGGUUGGACACCAACGACACCACGGUUGAAGAUGGCAGCGAGCAGUCGGCCCAAUCCUCAUCC